GAUGACGGUAGGCGAGGAAUAAGUCCCGGCCAAUUACGUGCCAGCACCCGCGGUAACACGUAUGGGACGAGCGUUGUUCGGAAUCAUUGGGCGUAAAGGGCGCGUAGNCGGCGAGGUAAGCCUGGUGUGAAAGACCGCAGCUUAACUGCGGAACCGCGCUAGGAACUGCUUUGCUUGAGUUCAGGAGGGGGAGCUGGAAUUCCAGGUGUAGGGGUGAAAUCUGUAGAUAUCUGGAAGAACACCGGCGGCGAAGGCGAGCUCCUGGCCAUGAACUGACGCUGAGGCGCGAAAGCGUGGGGAGCGAACAGGGUUAGAUACCCUGGUAGUCCACGCUGUAAACGAUGUGCACUAGGUGUUGGGCCACGAAGGUUCAGUGCCGGAGUCAACGCGUUAAGUGCACCGCCUGGGGAGUAUGCUCGCAAGGGUGAAACUCAAAGGAAUUGACGGGGGCCCGCACAAGCGGUGGAGCAUGUGGUUUAAUUCGAUGAUACGCGAGGAACCUUACCAGGGUUUGACAUAUGCCGGAAUGUGCAGGAGACUGCGCAGCCCUUCGGGGCCGGUAUACAGGUGCUGCAUGGCCGUCGUCAGCUCGUGCCGUGAGGUGUUGGGUUAAGUCCCGCAACGAGCGCAACCCCUACCGUCUGUUGCCAGCAUUCAGUUGGGGACUCAGGCGGAACUGCCGGUGACAAACCGGAGGAAGGUGGGGACGACGUCAGGUCAUCAUGGCCCUUAUAUCCUGGGCUACACACGUGCUACAAUGGCCGGUACAGAGCGAAGCAACACCGCGAGGUAGAGCAAAUCGCAGAAAGCCGGUCUCAGUUCGGAUUGGAGUCUGAAACCCGACUCCAUGAAGUUGGAAUCGCUAGUAAUCGCGCAUCAGCAUGGCGCGGUGAUACGUUCCCGGGCCUUGUACACACCGCCCGUCACACCACCCGAGUUGGGGGUACCCGAAGUCGUUUGCCUAACCUGCAAAGGAGGGCGGCGCCGAAGGUAUGCCUGUAAGGGGGUGAAGU
Molecule: ribosomal RNA, 1013 nt
Filed under: uncultured organism
Description: bacterial SSU rRNA
Rfam family: Bacterial small subunit ribosomal RNA
Source: RNAcentral